This 75-nucleotide transfer RNA is filed under the name Duncaniella sp. Its description in RNAcentral is "tRNA-Pro". It matches the Rfam family "tRNA". From Rfam's summary of the family: Transfer RNA (tRNA) molecules are approximately 80 nucleotides in length. Their secondary structure includes four short double-helical elements and three loops (D, anti-codon, and T loops). The record is from RNAcentral. Lineage: Bacteria; Pseudomonadati; Bacteroidota; Bacteroidia; Bacteroidales; Muribaculaceae.
CGGGGCGUAGCGCAGUCCGGUUAGCGUACCUGCUUUGGGAGCAGGUGGUCGCGAGUUCGAAUCUCGCCACCCCGA